This 414-nucleotide ribosomal RNA is filed under the name uncultured Gammaproteobacteria bacterium. RNAcentral describes it as "bacterial SSU rRNA". It matches the Rfam family "Bacterial small subunit ribosomal RNA", at positions 9 to 429 of the family's 1533-position model. The record is from RNAcentral. Lineage: Bacteria; Pseudomonadati; Pseudomonadota; Gammaproteobacteria.
GAGUUUGAUCAUGGCUCAGAUUGAACGCUGGCGGCAGGCCUAACACAUGCAAGUCGAGCGGCAGCGCGGGGCAACCUGGCGGCGAGCGGCGGACGGGUGAGUAACGCGUAGGAAUCUACCCAGUAGCGGGGGAUAGCCCGGGGAAACUCGGAUUAAUACCGCAUACGCCCUAAGGGGGAAGCAGGGGAUCUUCGGACCUUGCACUAUUGGCAGAGCCUGCGUUGGAUUAGCUAGUUGGUAGGGUAAAGGCCUACCAAGGCAACGAUCCAUAACUGGUCUGAGAGGAUGAUCAGUCACACCGGAACUGAGACACGGUCCGGACUCCUACGGGAGGCAGCAGUGGGGAAUAUUGGACAAUGGGGGCAACCCUGAUCCAGCCAUGCCGCGUGUGUGAAGAAGGCCUUCGGUUGUAAG